RNAcentral lists this ribosomal RNA (450 nucleotides) under uncultured bacterium. RNAcentral describes it as "partial 16S ribosomal RNA". It matches the Rfam family "Bacterial small subunit ribosomal RNA", at positions 354 to 796 of the family's 1533-position model. The record is from RNAcentral.
GUGGGGAAUAUUGGACAAUGGGCGAAAGCCUGAUCCAGCCAUGCCGCGUGUGUGAAGAAGGUCUUCGGAUUGUAAAGCACUUUAAGUUGGGAGGAAGGGCAGUAAGUUAAUACCUUGCUGUUUUGACGGUACCAACAGAAUAAGCACCGGCUAACUUCGUGCCAGCAGCCGCGGUAAUACGAAGGGUGCAAGCGUUAAUCGGAAUUACUGGGCGUAAAGGGCGCGUAGGUGGUUCAUCAAGUUGGAGGUGAAAUCCCCGGGCUCAACCUGGGAACUGCCUCCAAAACUACUGAGCUAGAGUACGGUAGAGGGUAGUGGAAUUUGCUGUGUAGCGGUGAAAUGCGUAGAUAUAGGAAGGAACACCAGUGGCGAAGGCGACUACCUGGACUGAUACUGACACUGAGGUGCGAAAGCGUGGGGAGCAAACAGGAUUAGAAACCCGUGUAGUCC